GACACCAUGGGCCUCCUGCUGUGAUAUCAUAUAAAGCAUGUAUUACCACCUAUGAAGUAUUUUUGCCAAAAAAAUGUUUAACCUGCAUUUAAUACCAAGCUUCUAGAUCUAACAAUUUUCAGGAAGAGAGAAGGAACAAGUUGAACAACACCAGGAAGAAACAAGCAAGGCCAGAAUAUAGGACAUUCUAGAGUACACUAGCCUGGACAACUGUCACAGUGCCUCAGGGGCAGGCGACAGCACUUCCAGCUGGAGGGUGGGGACCUGAAGGGCCCAAGGCUUUGCAGUGUGCCAACCAGCGACAUCAGCAUCACACUGGGAGCUUCUGAGAAAUGUCAGCUCUGAGGUCCCAGCCCAAACCUACUGAGUCACAAUCUAUUUUACAAGAUCCCCAGGUGAUCUGUGUGUCCACCAGGUUUCAGAUGCACUGAUCUAACGGGAACGCAUUCCUCUUGCCAGUGAUUACUUCAAGACUAGGCAUGUGACCCAAUGCAGGCCAACGAGAUGUGAAGAACGGUUCUGGAGCUGCUUCUUGUUCUGAGAUAAAUUCCUCCUUUCGGAA
Molecule: long non-coding RNA, 562 nt
Organism: Hyaena hyaena (striped hyena)
Lineage: Eukaryota; Metazoa; Chordata; Mammalia; Carnivora; Hyaenidae
Exons: 2
Source: RefSeq, a predicted model, not a curated record